RNAcentral lists this long non-coding RNA (3549 nucleotides) under Nicotiana benthamiana. Its description in RNAcentral is "long non-coding RNA (NBEN_LNC004229)". Lineage: Eukaryota; Viridiplantae; Streptophyta; Magnoliopsida; Solanales; Solanaceae. The record is from RNAcentral.
AAUUCACAAAACUAAGACCAUUUCCUUUAAUUAAUAAUGAUAAAGCAUAAGCAAAACCAAUAAUUAUAUAAAACAGUAGCAAUAUUUGAUAAAGUUGUAAUACGGCCCAAACAUAGCUAAUAUCUUACAAACCCUAAUACUAGGUGACACAAGUACACGAGUAAAUUAAAAAUGAGGGCAAGUCUAUGUAUACAAAUAAUAAAAGAAACAGGGACUCGGGAACACCAGAGUAGAUACAUGAAGCUCAACUCACCCUAUGUCUCCGUGAAAUUUCUUAGCUCAAUCAGGGAGCUAUAUGAGUAUCCACAUGAGGAUCUGCACAAAAAAAUAUGCAGAAGCAUACUAUGACUACACCACAAUCGUUACCAAGUCAGUAUUAAGUGUGACCUCGAUGAAGUAGUAAUCAGUCCAGAUGCUUCAGAAUACUUACCAUACUGAUAUAAUAACAAAAUUAAGAAAUGAACAGUAGAUAAAGUCACGACUGCCAAGAAUCACAUAUAGUAAUAGUUGAAAUAUGAGGCAUGCUCUUCUAAUUUAGAAAAAAUCAUAACGCUACUCAAAGUACGAUAUUAAAAGCUCAAAUAACAUAGUUGGGACUCCUAACCAACAUAUAAGGAUGUCAAAUAACUAUCAAAAAUGAAAGAGGUACUACUAAAUGAGUCACUAAUAUGAACGCAUGCUCAAAAUGGUACAAGAUCCAUGUACUACUAAAUGAGACACUAAUAUGAAUGCAUGCUCAAAAUGGUACAAGAUUCAUGUACCCCGAUAUAUAUGUAUCAGCAUAACCCGAUACAAAAUCUAUAUAUCGACCCGGUAUAAAAUUCAUAUACCGAUCAUGCUCACAGGUCCCAAAAUAACAUGGUUAUCACCUAACUCUGGAGGGUUAGAUCCAAAUUAUAUAUGUUCAAGAAUUAUAGAUAAAAGUACAUAAGGACUUAACAAAUAUCAUACAAAAAUGUGCUCAUGAAAUUUGUAUGUGACUGUGGAUAAUUAUGCAAUUCAACAUAUCAAAAAUGAGUUGGCAUGCCUUCACAAUUGAAACAAGGAGCCCAAUUCUACCCGGGUCAUGAUAUAAACUCGAUAAAUGCAUAUACACUCACUACUAUAUAUAUACACUACCCCCAAAACUUUAAACUCAUAAAAAACAAGUCAAAUCUAGGGAUUUCCAUCUAAACAAGGUUAGCCAAGAGACUACCCCGACUUGGUAAUCUUAAAAUCAUCAAAAGUGCCAAAUACUUAAAAAUUCAACUCCAAACGGCUCAAAUCUAAUCAAAUACAACCCAAUAAUAUCAAACAAAACCAUAUAAAUCUAAACAAUUCAUUAAAGGUAAAAUCUUUAAUUAAAUACACAAAGUCAACCAAAAAGUCAAACCAGUGACGCUUCCCAGAGCCCGACAAAAUUUAAUAAUAACGAACACCCAUUUCGAUACGAGUCCAAACUUAGAACCAAAUGUCCGAUUCAAGCCUAAUCAAUAAGAAUUAAUCCCAAACUUUGCAUACAAGUCCCAAAUAACAAAACAAUCAUAUUCCAAGUUCUAGAACAAAAAUCUAAAUCUGAUAACCUCGAAAUCAAUCCUUGGUCACACCUGUGAACUCUCUGUCACACCUCCUUUUUCGUACCCCAAAAGGGUAUAAGGGAAUUUUUUCCAAUUUAAGUGACAAUCGAAACGUGAUUAUUUUACUAAAAAUUCAGCGUCGCCACUUGUGAUAAUUUAUGGCGUCCCAAGUCACCGGUUCAAAUCCCGAAUCAAGGAAAAGAUUGAUCUGUUUCACAGUUCGCGAACACAGAAAUCCAGGUAAGAAAUUAUAUUAACCCGGGAGAAGACGUUAGGCAUUCCUGUGUUCCGUGGUUUUAGCACGGUUAGUCAACUAUUAUUAUUGGCCUAUUAUCUGAUUUUAAAACACUUUUAUUCCUAUGUGCAUUUUUAAUUUUAAAACUACUUUUAUUUAUUUAAAGGAAGAUUUCAAUUUCAUAUAAAAUACAUCUUUGGACCACGCCACAUGAAAUGCACCAGCAGUCCGAGACAUAUUUUAUUUAACGUUGUUAGAAUUCGGAUUAGGAUCUCAUAAAAUGUACAUCCGAGUUUAAGAAAGUUAAAUUAAAUUACGCGCCUAACAACUACACACUUUCAAGUUUGCAAGGGCCAUGGAAAGUUCGCUAAUGGCACACCUCGAUUUCGAAAGGAUUAUAAUUAAUUAUCCGAGUGAAUCGAUUACUAAAUGGCACACCUCAAUUUCACAAAAACAAAUGCGAACCCACAAGUAAAAAUACCAAACCAAUCUCGUUCUCAACCCCAGUGAUUUGCUAACCAAAUUGUGCUCAAGGCUCUUAGUUGUUGAUAAGUAAGGCUACAAAUUUUAAUUUAAUGCCAUCUCGUAAUUGUGAUACUGCAGGAUCCAACAAUAAUAUUGUAAUUAAUCAGUAAACAAACAUAAAUCGCCGACUAGAAGGAAGAAAUCAAAUUAACCAUAGACAAAAGAUUUCACUUGUUCAAAAUAAACAACAUUCCAAAUUAUCAAGCUGGAACCCUCCAUUAACACCUAGCUAAAGUUACACCAACAUUUCCUCAGUGUUUAGACAGCCGAGGUUUCAUUAAGGAAAUAAACGAAAGUAGCACUGAAUAAACCACAAGCAGCAAAAGAGACGAACACAAAGUAAACUUCCAUGUAAUUCAAUUCUUUACGGAAUGAAUCACAUAAGAAAAACACCUGAAACAGAGGGAGAAGAAAGGAUAAACCUAGAUUAAUCUGAAACUUAAUUGACUUACAGUCUGAAAAUGCUAAUCGACGGAAUAAACAUGACCGCAAGCAAGAUCUAUGCAGGAAAAUCUCGCUGGAAUCUUGAACGGAACUGAACAGACCCAACGAACUGAGCUAGCGACAUGAACGGGCUUUAACGGGAGUCGAUCUCAACAGAAAUGUUACGCUAAAUGGAACAACGAACUUGAAACUCAGUCGACAACCUCAAACGAACUCUCCACGAGCUUUAAAUUAACUCCAUUGAAGAAACAAACUUCCGUCUCCAGUUUCCGGCCAUUUCCGGUGGUGAAGGAGUUCAGUCGAGGAAGAAGAAGCAGCUGAUGUCCUAGGUCUAUGAGACUGAGGCUUAAAGCUCUAGGAUUUUGUUCAAGAACCAGAGCUCAUGGGUUCGUCGUUUAGGCUUCAGCUGAAACCAUAAAAAAUGGCCAAGAAGAAGCUGCCAUCACCGGAGACGAGUUCAGGGGUCGAAUUUGUUAGUUCCUGCGGCGCUAGCUUUUUGAUUUCCGUCCAUCUUCGGUUGCGUGUGCGUGUGUUAUUCAGCGGCUGCAAUCCAUGAAGAAGAUGAGGGAAUUCAGAUGGAGAAGGGGUCGUUUAUGGCUGCUCAUUCUUGUGAGAAGAUGGGGGUGAGGACGAUGAAAAAUACAGGGGGGUCUGUGUUGUGUUAAAAAGGGCGCAGCUCCGGAGGGGUAUAGGUCUAGCUCUAGGUCUAGGAUAUAGGCGUUACCCUAUGGUCUGAUUUUGAGCUUUUCUUUCUUUCUUUCUUUCUUUCUUUUUUUUUGCUUUUUCAGC